RNAcentral lists this long non-coding RNA (1149 nucleotides) under Cyanistes caeruleus (blue tit). Its description in RNAcentral is "lncRNA (ENSCCEG00000000283.1)". The record is from RNAcentral. Lineage: Eukaryota; Metazoa; Chordata; Aves; Passeriformes; Paridae.
GGAAUGGGGACAGGAAUGGGGGGGACACGGGAAUGGGACAUGGGAUGGCACAAGGAUAGGGAAGGACACGGGAACAGGGACAGGGAGAUGGGGGACAGGGACAUGGAAGGACAUGGGAAUGGGGACAGGGACAUGGAGGGGACACAGGAACAGGGACAGGGAGAGGGGGACAGGGACAUGGAGACACGGUACCAGGGACAUGGAGGGGACACAGGAACAGGGACAGGGGGGAACAGGGAUGUGGAGGGACACGGGACAGGGAAACGGAGAAGGUGGAACAGGGACACGGAGGGGCUGAGGGACAGGGACUGGGAGGGAAACAGGAAUGGGGACACAGAGGGAAAUGGGAAUGGGGACACAGAGGGAAACAGGAAUGGGGACACAGCGGGAAACAGGAAUGGGAGCACAGAGGGAAACAGGAAUGGGGACACGGAGGGAAACGGGAAUGGGGACACGGAGGGAAACAGGAAUGGGAGCACAGAGUGAAACAGGAAUGGGGACUGGGAGGGAAACAGGAAUGGGAGCAGGGCCACAGAGGGAGCAGAAGAGACACGGAGGGAGGAGAACAGGGAAUUAUCCCAGGAGAUUCCCGCAGCAAGGUAAAGCUGCCAAAGCUCGGCAGCUCAUUCCUGGGAUUUUAUCGGGAAUUGUGUUUGCGUUCCUGGAGAGGCGCUGGUGGGAGCAGGAGCGGCAGAGCCCCCAUCCCACAGGGAACAUCAGCCAGAGGCUCAAAGGAACCCGGACAUGGGGAAUGCCCGGUCCUGGGGCAUGAUUGGAUCAGGGAUCCACUGGGAUCAGGGACCCGCUGGGAUCAGGGACCCGCUGGGAUCAGGGAUCCGCUGGGAUCAGGGAUCCCCCUGUCCCAGGACGCGCUCCGAACUCUCCCAGCUGCGCUGGACUGGGACGGGUUCCGGGAUACCCGGAUUUGGGAAUUCCCAUCCCUGUCCAGAGGAGGCCUCGCUGUCACCCCCGGGCAGCUCCCGCUGUCCCCUCUCCUCAUCCCAGAGCCAGCUCCGGGCUCCCGGGUGGAUCCUGGGUGCAGCUCCCAGGGAUUCCAGCAUUCCCAGCAUUUCCAGGGAAUUCCCAUGGCCGGGCCGGACCCUGGGGCUUGGAGCACCCGGGACAGUGGAAGAGUCCCUGCCCUGGCUG